This 411-nucleotide ribosomal RNA is filed under the name uncultured bacterium. RNAcentral describes it as "bacterial SSU rRNA". It matches the Rfam family "Bacterial small subunit ribosomal RNA", at positions 29 to 431 of the family's 1533-position model. The record is from RNAcentral.
AAUCAACGCUGGCGGCGUGCCUAACACAUGCAAGUCGAACGCGAAAGUCCCGCAAGGGAUGAGUAGAGUGGCAAACGGGUGAGUAACACGUGGGUGACCUGCCUUCGAGUGGGGAUAACGUCCCGAAGGGACGCUAAUACCGCAUGACAUCCUGCCUUUGAACAGGCGGAGAUCAAAGCUGGGGAUCGCAAGACCUCGCGCUUGAAGAGGGGCCCGCGUCCGAUUAGCUAGUUGGUGGGGUAACGGCUCACCAAGGCAACGAUCGGUAGCCGGCCUGAGAGGGCGGACGGCCACACUGGGACUGAGACACGGCCCAGACUCCUACGGGAGGCAGCAGUAGGGAAUUGUUCGCAAUGGGCGCAAGCCUGACGACGCAACGCCGCGUGGAGGAUGAAGACCUUGGUCGUAACU